UCUGCCACUGGGCAUCCAUCAUCAUUCGCUGGGCAUUUGCUGAGUACCGCCAUGUCUGUUGGGCAUCCACAGUCUCCCACCAGCCAUUGUGGUCUCUGCUGGUGCUCUGCCAUUUCACCACCAGUGCCUUCCAUGAGAA
MicroRNA precursor from Equus caballus (horse), 139 nucleotides. Lineage: Eukaryota; Metazoa; Chordata; Mammalia; Perissodactyla; Equidae. The record is from Ensembl.